GACGAACGCUGGCGGCGUGCUUAACACAUGCAAGUCGAACGGUAAGGCCCUUCGGGGUACACGAGUGGCGAACGGGUGAGUAACACGUGGGUGAUCUGCCCUGCACUUUGGGAUAAGCCUGGGAAACUGGGUCUAAUACCGAAUAUGACUACAGGCUGCAUGGUCUGUGGUGGAAAGCUUUUGCGGUGUGGGAUGGGCCCGCGGCCUAUCAGCUUGUUGGUGGGGUGAUGGCCUACCAAGGCGACGACGGGUAGCCGGCCUGAGAGGGUGACCGGCCACACUGGGACUGAGAUACGGCCCAGACUCCUACGGGAGGCAGCAGUGGGGAAUAUUGCACAAUGGGCGCAAGCCUGAUGCAGCGACGCCGCGUGAGGGACGACGGCCUUCGGGUUGUAAACCUCUUUCAGCACAGACGAAGCGCAAGUGACGGUAUGUGCAGAAGAAGGACCGGCCAACUACGUG
Molecule: ribosomal RNA, 462 nt
Filed under: uncultured bacterium
Lineage: Bacteria
Description: partial 16S ribosomal RNA
Rfam family: Bacterial small subunit ribosomal RNA
Source: RNAcentral